CAGCCGCCACGGUAAUACGUAGGGUGCAAGCGUUAAUCGGAAUUACUGGGCGUAAAGCGUGCGCAGGCGGCUAUGCAAGACAGAUGUGAAAUCCCCGGGCUCAACCUGGGGACUGCAUUCGUGACUGCAUGGCUAGAGUACGGUAGAGUGGGAUGGAGUUCCGCGUGUAGCAGUGAAAUGCGUAGAUAUGCGGAGGAACACCGAUGGCGAAGGCAAUCCCCUGGACCUGUACUGACGCUCAUGCACGAAAGCGGGGGGAGCAAACAGGAUUAGAGACCCCAGUAGUCCCUGUCUCUUAUAC
Molecule: ribosomal RNA, 301 nt
Filed under: uncultured bacterium
Lineage: Bacteria
Description: partial 16S ribosomal RNA
Rfam family: Bacterial small subunit ribosomal RNA
Source: RNAcentral